GCCCCACAGCUAUUCGGAACUCCACAAAUAAAGUGCCUGGAAGGGCACAGAGCACAAAACCUGUAAAAGCAACCCACAAUGAAGUGUACUACAAGAGAACUGGGAAUGGGAGACAAAGACUCAUUAACUCAAGUUGAAGAAAGCGAGCUAUGUGGAAGAGGAAGGCCUUGCACAGGGCAUUUCCAAUGGAGAGGGAGGCCAGUUCCCUGCUGCUCAUCGUGCACUGAGGAGAGGCCAUGUGCUGGGUAGGCCCUGGGCUUCCUCCUGCUCCUGGGGCAGCCAGUGCAGGAGAUCACCACCCCCUGGAGCCAGCUCCAAGCACAGAGAGCCGUGGGUGGACAAAGGAGAGAGGCCUGUCACAGCCAGAAGUCACCGCCAGCCCUUGCCUCCUUGGCACGGGAGUGGGCUCCAUCACAGGCUGCUCCAGGCCCCAGUGCCGUGCUGGGAUCCAAAGCUGCAAAGCAUGUGGGGAAAGUUAUCGACAGAAGGGGCCGGUGGCAAGGCGAGAGGUAGCCUGGCAGCCCUGGGGCACCAAUUCCUCUGGUCACGGCCUAACCAAGCACCAAGGAGGGCAGCAGAGGCCCCUUUUAUUCCGUUAGUACAGGAAGAUGGGCCUCAUUUAGGGCUCUGUGUAAGUACUCCCCUCAGCACCUGAGACAGAGGAAAAGAGCAGUAGCUUCUCUCAUACGUUUCCAAAAAUUUUCAUUUCCAUUGAGAAGCAGGCUGAAAAUUACCAUGACUUAUGUGUUGUUGCAAAUGUUUUAGUGGAAGUCAGCUAUUUUUUCCCAAGCAAUUAAAAAGAUAAAAUUCUUCUAAGUACUAUGGAAACAACUUCCUGCAGGCACUCCCUACAUACACUGUUAGGAAAACUGCUUUUCUCCACAGUUAUAGCUGGCUAAUCAUCCUGUGCCAGUUAACUUAUUUCUCUUCCACAUACACAUACUUAUUUUCUUGGAGAAAAUAUUGUGAUCCUUUAUAUUCUCUCAGUAUAAUAGCCAUUCCUAUCAAUGGAUGAGCUACAAUUGCUACCAUUCAGGAAGACAGGAAUGCAAAUGAGGAAUACCAAUUAACCUCUUUACAAUUAAAAAUAUCUCUAUCUAUUACAGCACCCAUUA
Oxyura jamaicensis (ruddy duck) is the source of this 1115-nucleotide long non-coding RNA. RefSeq lists it as uncharacterized. The transcript has 2 exons. NCBI's taxonomy places the organism in Eukaryota, Metazoa, Chordata, Aves, Anseriformes, Anatidae. The record is from RefSeq and is a predicted model, not a curated record.